This 546-nucleotide ribosomal RNA is filed under the name uncultured bacterium. RNAcentral describes it as "partial 16S ribosomal RNA". It matches the Rfam family "Bacterial small subunit ribosomal RNA", at positions 356 to 892 of the family's 1533-position model. The record is from RNAcentral.
AGGGAAUCUUCCACAAUGGACGCAAGUCUGAUGGAGCAACGCCGCGUGAGUGAAGAAGGUUUUCGGACCGUAAAGCUCUGUUGUUGGUGAAGAAGGAUAGAGGUAGUAACUGGCCUUUAUUUGACGGUAAUCAACCAGAAAGUCACGGCUAACUACGUGCCAGCAGCCGCGGUAAUACGUAGGUGGCAAGCGUUGUCCGGAUUUAUUGGGCGUAAAGCGAGCGCAGGCGGAAGAAUAAGUCUGAUGUGAAAGCCCUCGGCUUAACCGAGGAAUUGCAUCGGAAACUGUUUUUCUUGAGUGCAGAAGAGGAGAGUAGAACUCCAUGUGUAGCGGUGGAAUGCGUAGAUAUAUGGAAGAAUACCAGUGGCGAAGGCGGCUCUCUGGUCUGCAACUGACGCUGAGGCUCGAAAGCAUGGGUAGCGAACAGGAUUAGAUACCCUGGUAGUCCAUGCCGUAAACGAUGAGUGCUAAGUGUUGGGAGGCUUCCGCCUCUCAGUGCUGCAGCUAACGCAUUAAGCACUCCGCCUGGGGGAGUACGACCGCAAG